RNAcentral lists this ribosomal RNA (439 nucleotides) under uncultured bacterium. RNAcentral's name for it is "bacterial SSU rRNA". It matches the Rfam family "Bacterial small subunit ribosomal RNA", at positions 340 to 773 of the family's 1533-position model. The record is from RNAcentral.
UACGGAAGGCAGCAGUGGGGAAUAUUGCACAAUGGGCGCAAGCCUGAUGCAGCCAUGCCGCGUGUAUGAAAAAGGCCUUCGGGUUGUAAAGUACUUUCAGUCGUGAGGAAGGUGUUAAGGUUAAUAACCUUAGCAAUUGACGUUAGCGACAGAAGAAGCACCGGCUAACUCCGUGCCAGCAGCCGCGGUAAUACGGAGGGUGCGAGCGUUAAUCGGAAUUACUGGGCGUAAAGGGCACGCAGGCGGUUAAUUAAGUUGGAUGUGAAAUCCCCGGGCUUAACCUGGGAAUGGCAUUCAAGACUGGUUAGCUAGAGUCUUGUAGAGGGGGUAGAAUUCCAUGUGUAGCGGUGAAAUGCGUAGAGAUGUGGAGGAAUACCGGUGGCGAAGGCGGCCCCUGGACAAAGACUGACGCUCAUGUGCGAAAGCGUGGGGAGCAAAC